GACGUUGGAUUACCAGUGAGCGGCGGACGGGUGAGUAACACGUGGGCAACCUACCCUGAAGUGGGGGAUAACAUCUGGAAACAGGUGCUAAUACCGCAUAACAACGAAAACCACAUGGUUUUCGUUUCAAAGAUGGUUUCGGCUAUCACUUCAGGAUGGGCCCGCGGUGCAUUAGCUAGUUGGUAAGGUAACGGCUUACCAAGGCAAUGAUGCAUAGCCGAGUUGAGAGACUGAUCGGCCACAAUGGAACUGAGACACGGUCCAUACUCCUACGGGAGGCAGCAGUAGGGAAUCUUCCACAAUGGGCGCAAGCCUGAUGGAGCAACACCGCGUGAGUGAAGAAGGGUUUCGGCUCGUAAAGCUCUGUUGUUGGAGAAGAACGUGCGUGAGAGUAACUGUUCACGCAGUGACGGUAUCCAACCAGAAAGUCACGGCUAACUACGUGCCAGCAGCCGCGGUAAUACGUAGGUGGCAAGCGUUAUCCGGAUUUAUUGGGCGUAAAGCGAGCGCAGGCGGUUGCUUAGGUCUGAUGUGAAAGCCUUCGGCUUAACCGAAGAAGGACAUCGGAAACCGGGCGACUUGAGUGCAGAAGAGGACAGUGGAACUCCAUGUGUAGCGGUGGAAUGCGUAGAUAUAUGGAAGAACACCAGUGGCGAAGGCGGCUGUCUGGUCUGCAACUGACGCUGAGGCUCGAAAGCAUGGGUAGCGAACAGGAUUAGAUACCCUGGUAGUCCAUGCCCGUAAAACGAUGAGUGCUAGGUGUUGGAGGGUUUUCCGCCCUUCAGUG
This 787-nucleotide ribosomal RNA is filed under the name uncultured bacterium. RNAcentral's name for it is "bacterial SSU rRNA". It matches the Rfam family "Bacterial small subunit ribosomal RNA", at positions 68 to 845 of the family's 1533-position model. The record is from RNAcentral.